ACAAAAACUGUUAUAUAAUGAUAGACAAAGGAAGACAACUCUUAGAAGGAGUGAUAAAUAUUUUUUCUGUCUCAUUUGUGAAAACAAAUAGUAAUUUUUUACAUUACUGACUAUGAUAAAAAUGGACAAAAGGAUAAAAUGUAAAACCAUUCUGAACAGAUCUGAGGAGUAUUGAUUAUCUACACAAAAUACAUUUCCUUAGCAAAUUAUAGCCUUUUUUUUUCUUUUUUUGCUUUACUACCAGCUUCGAAGCUUUUAAGAUUUUUGUUGCUUUGUCAGCUGUUGUCAAAGCUAAUAAAGACAAAAAUUGGGCUACGAAGAAAAACAACAGGAAAAGCUGUAUGAUGCUAGACAUCUGAAGUGUACAUCUAGCCUCUGUGCUAUCAGUUGCAGAAGGGUUUUGUUCCAUUUCCAACCACAAGUUGUGAGACUCGCAGAAUGUUAACAAAUACAUGUAGGUGAGACUGUGUCAGUUGUGUUAGAGUUGUACAGGUAUAAAUGAGAACAGAGAUUGUCCACAUAUUUUCUGCAUUGGUGUUUUCCACACUCGGAAAGACAGCUACUUUUUACUAAAGUGAUGCAGUUUGAAAAGAACUGCAUUUCUUAUACCCAGGACUUGGCCUCUUGCCCCUGUUGCUGACAAUGUUAGGAAAGCAAAAUUCAGAAGCAUCCUCUCCCCCAGAUUUCCAGAUACAAGUGCAUAAGGCACAGAAGGAAUAUGCUGCUACUGCUCUGAAAAGCUGUGGUUGUUGUUGAGCUCUUCUUCAUAUUGCUGGGCCAGUCCUUACUCAGUGCUGCCUUCCAUCAAACAGGACCGUGGACUUUCCAGGGAAGAAUAUGCAUUGCUGAACAGUAAGCAUGGCAGCAAAAAGGUGGGAUUUUCCCAGUGGAUUACGUGGCAGACAGACAGCUGUACCAGAGUUUUGCUGCUCAGUACAGGAUUGGGAAACAUCCCUUCCCAAAUGUGAGCACCACUGGAAACGUGGAAAGGGUUUCGAGAAAUAUGAGUGCAGACAACCUUAAGAAUUAUGAGGAUUACUGAGACGAAACCAUGCAAAGCAUCUCUAGGAAACUGCUUUAUAUUCAAAAAUCUGUAACUCAUGCUUAAUGUUAAGUUCUGUGACUAUGAAAUUCCUUUACUAAGCUUCUAUUUACAGGUUGGGUUUGUUCGUUUGUUUGUUUGCUUCCUAUAGAAAAUCCAAUUCCAUUAAAAUGAAAUUAUUCGCAGGAAAAAAAA
Cygnus olor (mute swan) is the source of this 1237-nucleotide long non-coding RNA. RefSeq lists it as uncharacterized. NCBI's taxonomy places the organism in Eukaryota, Metazoa, Chordata, Aves, Anseriformes, Anatidae. The record is from RefSeq and is a predicted model, not a curated record. The transcript has 2 exons.